UGGGGUAUCGCCAAGCGGUAAGGCAACGGGUUUUGAUCCCGUCAUGCGGAGGUUCGAAUCCUCCUACCCCAG
Non-coding RNA from Oleiphilus sp. HI0009, 72 nucleotides. NCBI's taxonomy places the organism in Bacteria, Pseudomonadati, Pseudomonadota, Gammaproteobacteria, Oceanospirillales, Oleiphilaceae. The record is from Rfam.